This 3142-nucleotide long non-coding RNA is filed under the name Mytilus galloprovincialis (Mediterranean mussel). The record is from RNAcentral. Lineage: Eukaryota; Metazoa; Mollusca; Bivalvia; Mytilida; Mytilidae.
CUUUUUUCCAGAAUACAAAGAGAAUAAUAGAAUAUCAAUAUUUGAGUAUACAAUUGUAGUUGCAAAGCCUGAUUUAUCUUCAUCAUCAACGAAUCCAAAUACUUUCACAAUUAAUGACGUUAAACAAUGGCUGACCUUACAGAAAUUAGAAAAGUAAGUCAUAUUUCAUUGCAGGUUUUUUUCAUCGUCAUGACCACACAUACUGCUUACUAAUAUUUUAAGCUGGUUAGAUAUAACUGUCGCACUUCUACUAAUCUUAAUUUUUCUAUAAGUGACAUUUUGUUUUUGAAAUAAGUUAAAUUAUAAUAUAUAAUUGCCUUCAACGUGAGUAAAUACGUACAUCGACUUUAUAUGAACUUUGAAGGAUAGUUAUCUCAUUGAAAACAAUCCACAUUUCCUUAUUUUUAUAUGAACAUGUAUAGGAAAGAAGAUAUUGUCCACGUCUACGAUAAUCAACAAAGAUAGCAGGAUUAAAUCAGAGCAGUAGAAAUACAAAAAGUUACCAUCAAAUCCACAGUUGACCAUGCGUUACUAAGAAGGGACCCGCCAUUUUUAAUUGAUUACUGAUAUUUUUGAAAAUAAAACAAGAACUACCUCGAAUUAGGAGUUUUAAUGUAAUUUUAUUCUAAUUUGAAUCGUAGAUGUACCGUUAUAACCUCCGGUUGAAAGUUUUCAUUUGUAUGACGUCACGUUUAGCCUUGACGUCUUUGCGCUAAAAUUAUUCAUAAAAUUUGCCGAUUUUUUUUUGUAUGUCAAAUUUAUACAUUAUGUCAAGCUUUAAUGUACAAAAUGUAUUAUUUCUUUUAGUAAUGCAUAAGAAUCGGAAUAACAGUACUGUAGUUGUAGAGUUACCACCGUCAAUUUUAAUUUGACGGUCUUAAAUUUACGUUUUACUGUCAGUCAAAUCAAGUCAGGAAUAUGACAAUUCUUAUCCAUUCGUUCUAUGUCUUAAUGAUUUUGCCAUUUGAUUAGGUACAAAUGUACUUUCGUUUUGAAUUUUCCUCUGAGUUCAGUUUUUGUUUUUGUGAUUUUACUUUUUUUUUUAAAUACAGGCACCACACAGAUUUAUGUUGCACAAUGUGAAAUAUUUUUGAAGAAUUCAUGUGUAAUGUUAAAUAAAAAUGUUUACUUGCAUUGGUUGGCGAUAUUAUUAUUAACGUUUUCUUAUUGGUUUUUCGGUGAUAAUCAUUACAUCAUACAAUUCCCUGACCAUUUCUAUCUUGUGACCGAUUUCAAAGGAAUUAGUAUAUAAGAUAACCAAUAAGUAUGGAAAUCGAAUAACAAAUAUGCAAAUUAGUUGUUCCCAAGCUCACCAGACAGCUUAAACCACAAACUAAAUCAUUAUACAACUGUUUUUAAUUGAGUUUGAUUGGAUUUGUUUAACUGGUUUUACUGUGUAUUAUUUGCCUAGAAUAAAGUGUAGCUUUGUCGACAUUAUUAUAUUUUGACUAUAACUAUGAGUUGUUUAAUUAUUUUUUUACAAAGAUAUAUUUGGUUUGAAGAGAGUCAGAACUAUUUGGAAAAUUGGUGAAAUCAACUUUUCGUAAAAAGUGUUGUUAUGUUUAUAAAAGAUGGUUUUAUUGGUCAUUUUCGAUGCACAUCAUUAUCAAUAACGUUGCAAGAAUCAGAAUAAGGGACUGCCUAAUCUUAUACAAACUUUAUGAGAACAUAACCAACAAUUCUACAUAUAUGCCUAUCGAUAAAUGGUAGAGAAACAUAAAUGUUUUGAAUAUCAUUUUAUGACUACAUACUUACCUGAACAUUCCGUUAAAAAUCUCAGUUAUAAUUUGAUAAUAACUUCUGGUCAACCUUACUUUUCAUUUAUAUAUUUAAAUUGAUUUAUCAUUCGACGAAAUAUAAUGAUUUAAAUUAAAAAUAUACUUAGAGCUUCUGAAUUUUAUUUUGCUUUUUUCUCUAUUCGUUGCACUAGUAUCAUUUUAAAACGUUUUCAGGUUUCUCAUGAACGUUGCAUAUGUAUAUGUAUACAAUAGAAAAUGUUUUUUUUCUGCAAUGCUACUAAGCUUUGUUAUUGAUUUAGAUCUUCAAAUUGUUGAUUCCGAUGCCAUUGUAAAUUUUAUCUGCAAUAAGAUGCACGGAUUUGGUGAGUUUUAUUAUAUACCAGGUAUCUUUAAUAAGUUUUAUUACAGCGUGAGAGGUAAUUAUUCCAACGGGAAAAAUCAUUAUUUCGAUAUUGAGAAACGAAAGCAUGACUCAAAAUGAAGCCUAGCUGGUGUUUAAAAAGUAUCAAUAUAUUCAGUUAGCAAAGUAUUUUUGUAGUUGCUGUCAUCAUUUCGAAGACGUAAAUGGGAAAGGACUUUUACAACUCAAGAGUAUGCGACAUGAUGUGAGUAAAGUAUAAAUAAUAGCAAAAAUACUGAACUCCAAGAAAAAUCACAACGGCAAAAUCAAAAGAUCAAUCACAUCAAAUGAUUGAAAACACAACUGUUAUAUUCAUUACUUGAGUAAAGAUAAAACGCAAGAUGCUAAAUCUGAAAUAUCCUGUAUCAAGUAAUAAAUACUAAAAAGAAACAGCAUCAGAAAUAAUCCACAGAAUCAACAUCCUUCAUAAUUGAAAAAGCCGAGAUAAGUCUGAAGUUUUAAUGCAAUACUCCAACAGUUUGGUAGUAUUCCGUGCAGAAUAAUGCUGAAUCGAGAUAAAUUAUGUGAAAAACAGUUGAUAUUGAACUGAUACUCUUUUACUCAUACGGAUCGCGGUAUUCUUUGAUAGUUUUCUUUUAUAUUGGACUUGUUAUUGACCCGUCUAGUAAUAACAUUAACUUGUUUGGAAUGGCAGUGGUCAUUUCACAGUCUUCGCAUUCCUGCUCCUUUCGUAUACUAGUACAUGAAAACAAUGAUUUCAACUUUUUGAUGCAUGUGUCAUUGUCAAUAUAUAUAAAUGUAUGUACCUUUAUCUUACAGGCACCAGAGUUUUAUUUUAAAACACUGAGCAGGAAGCUCAAACUCAGUCUUGGUGAAAUACUCAACUUUUCUGCAGCUUUAGACGAAUUAUAAGACGAAGUCAAUCAAAAAUGACGAAAUGUCUAAAAUAUUUAAGAAUAUUCAGCAUCCAUAUACACAAAUUAUCCUAAUAUUGCAGUUUUUGAACACAUAAAAAAUGAUGGCAAAAGAGCUCCAGAACCAG